RNAcentral lists this unclassified non-coding RNA (1664 nucleotides) under Hevea brasiliensis (rubber tree). Lineage: Eukaryota; Viridiplantae; Streptophyta; Magnoliopsida; Malpighiales; Euphorbiaceae. The record is from RNAcentral.
GUGACAAUGGCUUAGAACAAAUUCAAAUUUCAAUAUCAAAAUACCUUGACCAUUAAUAUUUUUAACUAGAAAAAUUGUCCAUGAGUCUCAUCUCACGUAUGUACAAUUGUCCCCAUCAUUUUUUUUUUUUAUUUACUUGUACAAGCCAAGCUUUUGACCAGCAACAUCACACCUAAUCUCAGCAAGUCCAAUCCUAGAUUUUUCAAGAUCAAACUCCAUCCACACAUCUUGUUGAUGAUGAUUUCCAAUCACAAAUGCCUCAACCCCCAACAAGUCUGAGUUCCCAAAUGUAAAGCACCACACUGAAUCCUUCCCUCUUAUCUCUCCUGGUGCUCGAUACAACAGCCUCUCUCCCGAUACGCUCAUCUCCGCACCCUGAAAUAUCAAGCUUACAACCGGCAAUACUGGCAAUCUCGGCCGAGACGAUUCUAUUAAAUAACACAAGUCCAUUGCCCCUUGGAAUACGAAAUUUGGAUCAUUUAAAACUCUCAAAAUCCCUCUGGUUUGUGCUGAAAAUUCAUUUUUUAAAGCUGUGUAAACCGGACCCAGUAAGAAUGUGAACUGGGUGCCUGAGUCAACCAUGGUUUGUCCUGCUCCGGUGUGGUCUGGUACAAAAACGGAUUUCGGCAGCGAUAGAAUUUUGUUGUUAACCUUUAUGCCUUCGAGUUGGACUGAGUAAGCGACCCGAUCGAAGUACGGUAAUGGGGUUGAGAUUUGAACUAAAGGAGUGUAGCUUAGCGGUUUAAGCCAGGGCAAACUUGCAUCUCCGAGAAGCAAAACACCGAACGAGUCGAGACCCGAUAUGCAAUAUGAAAAUUUUCGAUAUCCCAUUUGGUUAAUGAAUGAUAAUGACCCACGGUUCAUGCCCAUUAACCCGGUUGUUUUGGCGUCUUCCUCUGCAUUUGAACUGAAACCCGUGUCCAUGCACCCGAAGAUUGUGGCGGGCCGAGAGGAGGACCCGAUUCUGAAUGUUUCAAACGCGAGAUUGCCUUCAGUGGAUGAAGCAUCGGCGUAGGAGAUGAUAACAUGGCAGAGCUUAGCAGCGUCACAAGACACGGGUAUGGUAAGAUCACGGGUUCGGGUCCUGCAGGUAGGAGCAGAGCAGGGGACUUUAACAUAAGUUUUAGAGGCGAAAGGGCUGAAGAUGGAGUUCAAGCCUUGCGCUUUCUUGCAGUGAAGCCAAGAGAGCUCGCUGCCUGUGUCAAGGACCAUGGUAACAUUCUGCGGAGGAGAACCAACCGUGAGAGACACAGUGAGGGAGACAUUAUGGUGGAACAAGAGCUUGUUGGUGGCGGAGGAGGCGGUGGCGAAGCGUCUUGCAAUGGGGAAAUGAGGAUGUUUCUGGGUUUUGAGAGGCAAUAUUAAAGAUUCUUGCUUUGAAGAAGAACAACGAUUGGCUUGCAAGAUAAAGAAAAAGAGAAGCACUUUAACAAGAAAAUGAUGGAGAGAGGCCAUGAAGGCUUACUGGGUGUUCCCACCUGUGAGAGAGGAGGAAGAAGACGUAUAUUGAUAUUAUUUGAUUGGGUAGAGUGAUUAGGUUUGCUUAAAUACAAGGCUGAAAAUGAUUAAGGAAUGCAUUGAAAUUAAGGGUUUCUAAUUUUUGAGACAAUUAGAAAAUCUCAUUGGUAAUUAACAAAGGAUAAUUAAUUUGGUGUGAGACAGUG